RNAcentral lists this ribosomal RNA (650 nucleotides) under uncultured marine bacterium. RNAcentral describes it as "bacterial SSU rRNA". It matches the Rfam family "Bacterial small subunit ribosomal RNA", at positions 96 to 781 of the family's 1533-position model. The record is from RNAcentral.
UGGCAAACGGGUGAGUAUAAUGUGGGAAUCUACCUUUUGGUUUGGAAUAACACGGGGAAACUUGUGCUAAUACCGAAUAAGCCCUUACGGGGAAAGUUUUAAUGCCGAAAGAUGAGCCCGCACUUGAUUAGCUAGUUGGUAAGGUAAAAGCUUACCAAGGCAACGAUCAAUAGCUGUUCUUAGAGGAAGACCAGCCACAUUGGGACUGAGACACGGCCCAGACUCCUACGGGAGGCAGCAGUGGGGAAUCUUGCACAAUGGGGGAAACCCUGAUGCAGCGAUGCCGCGUGAGUGAAGAAGGCCCUUGGGUUGUAAAACUCUUUCGUCGGGGAAGAAAAUGACUGUACCCGAAUAAGAAGGUCCGGCUAACUUCGUGCCAGCAGCCGCGGUAAUACGAAGGGACCUAGCGUAGUUCGGAAUUACUGGGCUUAAAGAGCUCGUAGGUGGUUAAAAAAGUUGAUGGUGAAAUCCCAAGGCUCAACCUUGGAACUGCCAUCAAAACUUUUUAGCUAGAGUGUGAUAGAGGUAAGUGGAAUUUCUAGUGUAGAGGUGAAAUUCGUAGAUAUUAGAAAGAACACCAAAAGCGAAGGCAACUUACUGGGUCACUACUGACACUGAGGAGCGAAAGCAUGGGUAGCGAAGAGGAUUAG